GUUAGUCUGUGGAUGGUAAGGUGAGCUAAGCAGCGGUUUAAUACCGCACACCUUCCACAGUUGCUGGGUGAGCACAGCGGUGAAUUGGGUUCCCUGGUCAGAGAGAAUCUCUUGAGGGAACCCGACUCUGGUGAAAAUCCUAACCAGGGCGUCAGCAACUGUCUCUGCCUCUAUAUUAGACAGCGCUACUGCCUCUGGAUAGCGAGUGGCAUAAUCCACCACGGUGAGAAUAUAUUUCUUACCGGAUGGACUAGCCCUGGCCAGUGGACCCACAAUGUCAACGGCUUUGCGGGCAAAGGGCUCCCCAAUGAUAGGCAUAGACAUAAGCCUAGCUCUUGGGUGGUCCCCCCGCUUCCCUAUCCGUUGACAUGUGUCACACGUACUGCAGUAUGUCCGCACAGCCUGAUUGAAGUUUGGCCAAAAAAAGUUCUGC
This is a non-coding RNA of Pelobates cultripes (western spadefoot toad), 433 nucleotides long. The record is from the annotation of a GenBank genome assembly. Lineage: Eukaryota; Metazoa; Chordata; Amphibia; Anura; Pelobatidae.